Molecule: long non-coding RNA, 319 nt
Organism: Myotis myotis
Lineage: Eukaryota; Metazoa; Chordata; Mammalia; Chiroptera; Vespertilionidae
Exons: 3
Source: RefSeq, a predicted model, not a curated record
UUUAACUAGUGACUGGAGGAGGAAAAAAAGAACAAGCUUCUAAGUUCAUAUAUUUCCUAGUCAACAAUGCAUAUAUGCCUACUCUCUAAUAAUGCCAUGCAAAUAUAGGAGAGAUAACAAUCACAAAACAUAUUUUUAUAAAGAUAUGAAAAGCCUGUUGAAAUUGGAUGAAGGAUAACAACUGAGAGAAUGUAAUUAUAACUACUGAAUUUUAGCCAGAGUUUUUACACUUCUUUCUAAGACAACAGGUGAUCCUUGAAAAACAUAGGUUGGAACUGUACACCAUCCCUUUAAGUAGGUUUUAAGAAAUAAAUACAGC